CUGAAGAAACCUCAACAGCGACGUCUGACAACUUCUCCAACGAGGAGAUGGCCGCCUGGUGCCGGAUCCUGGUCGUGCUCCUGUUCUUCCUCGUGUGGACUGAACACAGUUUUGCUGAUGUGGAUCAGAACCAACUCACAUUGUUGGUAAAAGGCAUCUUGAGAGAGUACAAGGUAAAUCGCAUGUUCAGUCUGGCCAUGAGCAUCCCUGAGAACCAGAAGCAGAACCAGAACAAGAACCAGAACCAGAAGCAGAACCAGAA
This is a non-coding RNA of Paralichthys olivaceus (Japanese flounder), 262 nucleotides long. The record is from RefSeq and is a predicted model, not a curated record. Lineage: Eukaryota; Metazoa; Chordata; Actinopteri; Pleuronectiformes; Paralichthyidae.